RNAcentral lists this ribosomal RNA (216 nucleotides) under uncultured bacterium. RNAcentral's name for it is "partial 16S ribosomal RNA". It matches the Rfam family "Bacterial small subunit ribosomal RNA", at positions 524 to 739 of the family's 1533-position model. The record is from RNAcentral.
UACGGAGGGUGCGAGCGUUGUCCGGAAUCACUGGGCGUAAAGGGCGCGUAGGUGGCCUGCUAAGCGUGCGGUGAAAGUCGGGGGCUCAACCCCCGAUCGGCCGUGCGAACUGGGAGGCUUGAGCACUGUAGAGGCAGGCGGAAUUCCGGGUGUAGCGGUGGAAUGCGUAGAGAUCCGGAAGAACACCGGUGGCGAAGGCGGCCUGCUGGGCAGUUU